ACGUAGGCACCAAGCGUUGUCCGGAUUUAUUGGGCGUAAAGAGCUCGUAGGCGGUUCAGUAAGUCGGGUGUGAAAACUCUGGGCUCAACCCAGAGAGGCCACCCGAUACUGCUGUGACUUGAGUACGGUAGGGGAGUGGGGAAUUCCUGGUGUAGCGGUGAAAUGCGCAGAUAUCAGGAGGAACACCAGUGGCGAAGGCGCCACUCUGGGCCGUAACUGACGCUGAGGAGCGAAAGCGUGGGUAGCAAACAGGA
Molecule: ribosomal RNA, 254 nt
Filed under: uncultured prokaryote
Description: partial 16S ribosomal RNA
Rfam family: Bacterial small subunit ribosomal RNA
Source: RNAcentral